ACUGAGGACUGCUACUGGCACGUGGCUUUCGUCCAGAGACUCUGAGCGUUUGGGCCUCCAAGUGCAGGGGUACUGCUGCCCCCUCCUGCAGAGGCCCAGCAGUGGAAGGGUGAUCCCACAGAGCAGAGGGGGAGGAGAUGAGAAACUGUUCAGCAGCAUCAGGGUGAGGCUGGAAAGCAGAGCAAAACCAGCAUCAAGGUCCAAAACUGGGAGCAGACCUGAGAUGACCUCACAAAGUGGAGCUCCCACUGUGGGCCAAAGCAAAGAUCCAGUCGAUGAAAGAACAGAGACCUCGAGAACCCCCUGCGACAGCGAGAGGCCGGCUCGACACACGCAUCCUGCUUCCACAAAGGUUUCAGAGCUCCAUCUAUAUCUGCCGUCAUCACUGUGUGAAGAUGAGAAGCAG
Molecule: long non-coding RNA, 406 nt
Organism: Pelmatolapia mariae (spotted tilapia)
Lineage: Eukaryota; Metazoa; Chordata; Actinopteri; Cichliformes; Cichlidae
Exons: 3
Source: RefSeq, a predicted model, not a curated record